This 620-nucleotide ribosomal RNA is filed under the name uncultured Gammaproteobacteria bacterium. RNAcentral's name for it is "bacterial SSU rRNA". It matches the Rfam family "Bacterial small subunit ribosomal RNA", at positions 1 to 877 of the family's 1533-position model. The record is from RNAcentral. Lineage: Bacteria; Pseudomonadati; Pseudomonadota; Gammaproteobacteria.
GGGCCCGACGUCGCAUGCUCCCGGCCGCCAUGGCGGCCGCGGGAAUUCGAUUAGAGUUUGAUCAUGGCUCAGAUUGAACGCUGGCGGCAGGCCUAACACAUGCAAGUCGAGCGGUAGAGAGGUGCUUGCACCUCUUGAGAGCGGCGGACGGGUGAGUAAUGCCUAGGAAUCUGCCUGGUAGUGGGGGAUAACGCUCGGAAACGGACGCUAAUACCGCAUACGUCCUACGGGAGAAAGCAGGGGACCUUCGGGCCUUGCGCUAUCAGAUGAGCCUAGGUCGGAUUAGCUAGUUGGUGGGGUAAUGGCUCACCAAGGCGACGAUCCGUAACUGGUCUGAGAGGAUGAUCAGUCACACUGGAACUGAGACACGGUCCAGACUCCUACGGGAGGCAGCAGUGGGGAAUAUUGGACAAUGGGCGAAAGCCUGAUCCAGCCAUGCCGCGUGUGUGAAGAAGGUCUUCGGAUUGUAAAGCACUUUAAGUUGGGAGGAAGGGCAUUAACCUAAUACGUUGGUGUCUUGACGUUACCGACAGAAUAAGCACCGGCUAACUCUGUGCCAGCAGCCGCGGUAAUACGAAUCACUAGUGAAUUCGCGGCCGCCUGCAGGUCGACCAUAUGGG